This is a long non-coding RNA of Manis pentadactyla (Chinese pangolin), 7813 nucleotides long. RefSeq lists it as uncharacterized. The record is from RefSeq and is a predicted model, not a curated record. The transcript is spliced from 3 exons. Lineage: Eukaryota; Metazoa; Chordata; Mammalia; Pholidota; Manidae.
AGUGAUACAAUCCACAUUGGAACCCAAAGUUGUGUGAGGCCCAGAGUCCUCUGAAAUGUGGGGCACAUUGCACAGAGCAGGCAGCGAUUUAUGUUGGACUCCAGGAGUCUUGUGAUGGCAGUCUAGGGAGGGGCAGACUUUUGUUCCUCUUUCACAAGGGAGGGAGGGCCUCGGGGAGGGGGGCCGCAGGCCUAGGAGGUCCUGGGUACUUUCGGGGUGAAAGGGCUGGGAUGGUGGAACAGGGAGUGUGUCAAAGCCAGAGAGAUUAGAUUACGGAGGCAGACAGAAGUAAUGAUUAACUUCUCCAGUCUGCACGCCGUCUCCAGUCGGUCGUUCUGUUGUUUUCCCUGUGAGUACAGUGUGGCCCUGGCCUGGCCAGGGCUGGUGUUGGGUUGUAAAGAAAGAGAAGGAAUGAGGGCUCUGGGAAUGAGCAGGGGGCGGGGAGCCAGGGAGCUGGCUGGAGAGGGAGGCUUUUCCAUCAGAUCCUGCGCUGGAAUUUAUUGGCCGGAAUGCAGUAAAUGUUCAAAAUGCCAUCCCAUCCAGCAGUUUUCAUAAUUGUUAUGGAACAAGGGGAUCUGGGGGAGGGGAGGGAUGAAAAGGACUUUUGUUUCUCACUGUAUUUUUCCAUGUCUUCGAUGGUUUUCCUACCCUCUAGAAAAACUACAGUGGGGGGAGGAGAGGAGGGGAAAGGAUAGGGCCUGCGUCUGGGCCCUGUAGUACUUUUCAGGGAACUGGAAGUCACUGUGCACGGGGCUUUAUUAAAAUGAGGCCCACAGCAAAAGCUGCUCACUGUAGAGCUCCCAGACCCGCAGAACCUAUGCUGUACCCCUGGGGUUUGUGUCCUUUCAGAAAAUUGGCUUAUGCAUUAGCAUGUAGCCUCCUACUUAUGAGAAGUCAAUAAAAAGAAGAAAAGGAAUGCAUUUUGGUCAUUUAAGGGAAGGUUCUUUUGUUGCAUUUGUGUAUGCAAGCGAGUGUGUGUGCAUUCCCAAUUGGGGAUCCACAUGUGGAAUUUGGGGGGGCUUUCUGGAUUCUCUGGAUGGGAGGUGGGUGAUGGAGGGUAGAGAUUUGACUUGGCCCUCCGCCUGCUCUUUGAGGGGCUCCCCUCUUAGGUCUUCCUGGGGAUGACCAGGCCCCAGUGGGCAGGCAGAUAAGCAGGUAAAACCAUGCAGGUCUGGGGGACUCUGUGUGAACCCCCUUUCCGAGCUGCGGAGUUCUUUAGUGGGGGUACCAGAGGGAGCUUUGUGGUAACCAGGGAGUGGAAGUCCUGAAGUUCAAACUUGAGAAACGAUGAGGCUGGGUGCACGCUGAACAGCAGCCAGAGAGGGCCAUUUACUGUGAAUAUUAUGAAUGGAGUUGGCCUGGCUGGGCGUCCCCACCCUUCCUCUGAGUCCUCUCAGCGCCGGGCAGAGCUGGCCUCCUGAGAAGGCGAGCGGCCGGGUGCGCGCUAUAAUUUGCAUGGCUGAAGGCUGGGGCACAGGAAGCUGCGUCAGCCCUGCCGGCGAGACAGGCAGGAGCUUUUGAUUUGUGUGGUUCCCCUCCCCUGCUGGCACUACCCUCGACUGUAUGCUCUGAUGGCAAAAUACUGCUCUUUGGUGGGACCCCCGGUUUGGGGGCCUCAGACACAGACAUUCGAGGGGCGUUGGGAGGUGGGGGUGGGGCCAGUUUGGGAAGCAGCAGGGUACAUUUUAGCUCUAGUAACUGAUUACUCAUCCUCAUUUGUCUGUAAGGCACAGUAACAAGUCAGUCUUCUGGCCUAGCAGGACCUGCAGUAAACGUAAGCUUGGGAGUGCUUGAGGGCGGAGGGUGGUUAGUGGUGGGUGAGAAACGUCAGAGCACCAAGCCUGGGUGGGCAUUGGAAGUGAUGGCGAUAAAGCAGACCCUGCCCUCUGAGACUCACCUUUUCCUGAGGGCUGUGAAUGAUAAGACGGGAAGAGCACAAGUCUGCAGCUCUGAGAUUUUUUUUUUAAUUGGUUUAGAGAUGGACACUGUAAAAUCAGGCUCAGAUCCCCUUUCCCUUUUGAUUUUUUUUUUACUGUUGCAAAUUAAAUGCAAAAACGUGCCCUGCUCCCCAAAUAAUGAUUUUCUUGCUCUCUGGAAGGUAGUAAAAAUAAAUGGAACCCAGUGCUGUUAAACACUGCUCGGGCACAUUUGUGAAUCAGAGUGUAAGCAGGCUCUCCUAGAGCCUGAAGGGGACACAUUUUGCCCCAGUCCCCCAUCAUAGGAGCUGAGGACAGGUCAGGCUGAGACUCUGAGAGAACAAGUCACUUGAUCAAGGUCCCAGAGCAGAUGGCCGGCAAAGCCAACGCAUUCCCUGAUUCUUGAUGUGAGGGAGGUGGACCCCACACUCAGCCCUAAAGUAGGAAUAGCAUUGCCAAAGUGUUCUGAAGGGCACUUACUUCCCCCGCUGCCAUCUGGAGAGUACUGGUGGCUUUACGGGCCUGAGGUGGCUGCCCACCACGGCUCACCCCAGUCAGUAUUCUGGCCUUGAAUCUAAGUUCUGCUGUUCGCCAGUGGCCUGUGCCUCAUUUCCCUCUUCUGUAGUGUAAGAAUGGUAAUAGCACGCAACCUCAACCUCAUAGGGUUGUUAGGAGCCCUUUCCAACCAGGCCUGGACAUAGUAAAUGCUUGUCAGAGGUAGGUAGGCACAGCCCAGAACUGUUCUCUAGCCUAGGGGGCCGGGGGCAGGGGGUCACCAAUUUAUGGAGCAAUUGGAACAUCUGAGAUACCCAAGAGGUGUUUAUUCCAUGUAUAUAGUUGAAAGCCGGGCACUGGCCCCUGCCACUGUCACGUCAUCACAGCAACCCUAUGAGGCUGGUAUGGGCAGCUCUGUCUUAGGGAUAUGUCUGUCAUUGCCAAGGUGCCAAGGUAGAUCUGAAUGGGAUGUCUGGCUCCAUGUCUGGUCACCUCUCACGGGGUAGGGGUGACAUACUAUGGCUGGAACUCCCUAAGGGUGGGAUUUGGGGAGUUCAGCUGGUUGGUCCCAGGGACCUGAGGAAGCACCCAGCCUUGGAAGGAGACCCUCCGGCACCCCCUGCCUGCUCCCAGGUCCAGCGACCUCAGUGGAAAAACCUUGUUGAAAAGCUCCAGAAGAAAUCCAACCUUUUCAGUGCUGCCUUCUACCAGCCAGAUGACAUUCUCCGAUCCAGCUUGGGGUAGUGAUGAUGGGGUAGGUCUGAGUGUUUUGUGGGUAACUGAGAGCUAACCUGAACUGUUGGAGUUUCUUUCAACCCCCAUGGGUAGCCCAGGAGUUGUCUGUGCUGCCCUAAGGCGUCUGUGGGAGGCCUGGUGUAAUCCCCUCAUGUUCCAAGUGAGGUGAACCUGGCCGAUCAGAGCUGACCCCAGAACCCACAUUGCGUCCAGAAACUUCACGUGUUUGCUUUAGUUCUUGGUCAUUUUUUCUUUCUUAAAAUCAAGAGACCAGCAAGGGUCCUCAUUGCAAGUAUCUGGGAUGAUAAUAGAUUGGAUAGACCGACUGGCCCAUCCGUCUCAGUCCUUAUCCCUGAAGUGGGCUGCUUGUUCUCAGAACAGCCUGUUUCCUGACCAGGGUGGGGAGCAGGGCUGGCUGGGGCUGCUGACCUUUGAGGUGGGGGAGGACAGGAUGAGGCAGCCCUUGGUGGUGCCUGAGUCCCGAGGAAGGGGAGGACCCUGGACCUGCGGCCGGCGGGGCGUGGUGGUGUUUGCGUUCCCGGCUUGCCAGGUUUUAACUGCUGAGUCUCUCCGUUGGUGCCCUUUGCUUGCCCCGUCAGCCUGCGGUAAGGCAGCCAUUUCGCCCAGUCUGCCAUCUCCCUGCCUUCUCCAUCCCCAGCCUUGUGCUCUGCUGGACCCCUGGCAGUGGGGCGGGACAGGAUAGGGCUCAGGCCUGUCCCACUGUUGGAUUUUGGUAAAGAGAUACCCCUUUAUAAUCCAGGUGCCUCGCAGAGACAGGAGAGUUGAGACCCCUCGUUGCUCACUGUUUACUCCAGCUCCCUUGUGCCCUGGCAGUUCACGUCCAAGGCAGGGCCAGCCGCUGUGGCUCCAUGUAUGCUGCCUUCGUUUCCCAACUCACCUCUUUCCUAAAGGGCCAGAACCUCUGGGCACCCCAGCGCCCCCCACCCCAGCACUGCCUUUGUGUGAGGGCACUGCUGGGCUCAUGUUGCCCUGCUCUCAGGCAUCCCCACUGGCCUCACAGAAUCCCACUGGGUGUCUUGGGAAGAGUUCUGCCUCUCCAGCCUCAACGGUCGACUUCAUGAGCUAGAGGCCAGAAAUGGUGCCCCCGAAGCCCUGAACUGAAUCCUGCUUCCCUCCUUCCAUCUUCCUUCAUCCCCUCACACCUUCAAAUAGAAAAAUGUUAAAAGGGGGGAAAUUCCUCGCUUACCUAAAAUGGGGCCUCGAGGUCUGGUCACCUAAUGCCAUUGAGACCCUGAGCUGAGGGGUACUUAAAUAACUCUUUGUAAGAGGCAGGGAGCUCCUUGUUGCGUGGUCUUCCCUAAUGCAAGUGCAAACACAAGCGAAAUCCUUCCCCUUCUCAACACCCACAAACCCCCUUCCUUUUAAAGGGUAGAUUUUAUGCUUUAAGGGAAACGGGAAAGGGAGGAGAACAAACAACCUUGAAGGAAUUUUAGGCCGAUUCAGCUUUUUGCUGGGGUUGCUCCAAAAACUCCCUCAACUGUAAUAAAAAGAAAAAAUCGUGAGCAGGCAUCUGAUUAGUUAGCUUUCUACGGCACAGCUUUUCUUUUAGAUGCUUUUAAAUGCACAAAUACAGUGUUAAAUGAAGCCCCUGCACAUAACAGUUUUCUGAGGAGGGAGAGUUGUUGCUGAAAUACUGGAAGAGGUUGUAAAGCCGGGGGACGUUCAUGGGGGACAGCGAGCCUUGCCUUUGGAGGUGAAGUGUCAGCAACCAUGAUAAGAAGCCGAAGUUGGGUUCCUGAGGCCCUUCAUCCUCGUAACGAGGGAGACUUCCCCGUGUGAAUCGUCCCCGCCUCCUGCCACGAGGCCUGGGAAGCCCCCAGGAGCUAAGCGUCUCCACACGUCUUGUGGGGAGAUGCUUGUGGGCUGUGGACUCAGUUCAUGGAACUGUGUUUCUCUGAAAGUGAUGCUGUUUCCUAGAAAUGAGCCCAAAUGGUGGGGAAUUUGGGGCAGAUCUGUGACUUGUCAGUGUGGGCUGUACAAGGCCCCCAGAAGUGUGAUGUGUUAAAGAGGCCUUCUCUGUUGGGAUGGUGUGGCUGGAGAGCGGGGGUUUGUGCUCAGACAGAUUGUGCAGGAGCAGUGCAGAGCAAAGGGGCACCAGGGCACUGGGAGGCUGUGGCGGGGUUGGCGGGGGGCAGGGUAAGUGGAGGAGAGGGGCCAGCAAGGGUCCUUCUGUGGCAGAGUAGGGCCCCUAGUGGGCCUUCAGUGGCCUUGCUCACACACAGGGACACCCAUACGCUGCCGUUUAUCUGGACUGGGACAUUAAUUAACCUUAACAGAAAAAGGCUUUUUCCAGGAGAUGUCUGGCAGCAAAUUGGGUGGACGGGCGGGCGGCACAGAUGAGAAACGCCCCGGAAUGCUUCCCCACCCCAACCCCCACCCCGUGGUGCUGGGCCGAGCUCAGCCGACCUAAGGCCUGGCCCCCGCCAGCUUCCUCUGCCCCACGAGGCCCACGGGGCAGACAAGGCCCCCCCCCAUGCCAGUGGACUUGGCACAGGGGCACCAGAGCCCACACCACCCUCCCCACACCUCUUCUCCCGCCUCUCUCCUACUAGCGGGUGCCAGGUUUCAGGGGGGCCGGGCUCCAUGAAACGCAGUAUUGUAAGGCUUUGCCGAGGGUCUCCUGCACUCCCUCCCAGCCACCGUCCGGUCUUCCUUUCCAGGUCCGGUUUGUCCUGGGUUGGGAUAAAGGAGAGCUUCUUAAAUUUCAAAACACUCUCCUCCCUGAAACAGACGGGUGGACGCCCUGUGCCUUCCAGAAGAAGGCUUUCUCCUUUCUAGUAAACUUGCCAGAGUAUUCUCACUUACAUGGAGGUUAUGGGUCUUUAGUGUAGUCUUCGGAGCUAAACUCCCUCAGCAAGAAAGUUCAAAGAUUGCCAGUGCUCACGAGUUUACUAGCAGUUGAUGGAUACUUUGCAGAAACAAGUUAAUGCCUGAUGAGUCACCUUCUGCUUGGAGCCCUUGUCCCUCUCGUUUUUCCAUAUGUUCCAGUUUGUAUGCACACUAAUACACAUAUGUGUGCUCACACUCCUGGACACACAUUCUCUCUCACACCUGUAGUUUAUGGGUGCAUGUGUUGGGGGCGGCAGGCCAGUCCUCUGGGGUGGGGAUUGAGGGAGAGGAAUGAGCCUUUCGUGUCCCCAUUUUGUGUAGCUGUCUGGGCAGACACUUGAGAAGGUCAGUCGAGGAGACUGUAGGAGACGGCUGCUCUGGUGUGUGUGGCUGCCUCAGUGGGUCACAGUGCACAUUUGUACAGACUUAUUCAUGGGACACCUCUAUGUAAGACUGGCUGCUGCAUUAAAAAAAAAAAAAGUUAAUGGGACUGACUGGUUCCCAGGUCCUAACAUGCCUGUAAGUGUCGGAAUAAGUUAGUGUACUGAGCUGUACCGGGUCACACAGCUUUCCUGCACCUCCAGCUGGGCUGUACAACCCAUCAUCUGUGACCCUCAGUUGUUCCAAAACGAAAAAGGCCAAACCGUAAAACAUCUCACAGCCAAUCCCACCUUCAUGCUCAAACCCUCUCCCGCCACAGCUGAGAAGCAGGGCUGCAGGGGGAGGACAGGAGGCCCAUGCUUCAGGCUUUCCCCCCUGCCUUUCCCCAUUUUUGUUAACAAAUACAAGACUUCCGGUCUCCACCCUGCCACCGCAAACCGCAGCGUUCCUGCAGCCCAGCCGGUGGGAGAUUUAUGGUUCCCGGCCAGAGGCCUGCCCUGCCGGCUCCAGCUUGAGUCAGAAUGCCAGCCACUGGGGCUCCCUUUCCCUCCAUAUGACCCCCCUUUAAAGACCCCUGAGUGCCUGGUUAGGAAUAUCACCUUACCAGAAUCAGUCUCCCAGGCUGCCGGAGGAAGGGCCUCUUCUAGGAAGGCUGGGGUGGGGUCUCCAGAGGAGGGGGGCAGGGCACUGAGAGGCUUCUGGGAGGUGGUGCAGGCAGAGAAGGGGAACUUCAAGGAAGGUCACCCCCAUUUUACACAGAUAGUCUGUCUCAGCUGGAUGGGGCUUCGAUAAGGUAGCCUGGGUUUGCACCAGUCUGCGGGUUGUGAUUUGGCAUUUUGACAUGAAUCUACCCUUUGUGCACAGACAGAGUGGCUUUUUUUUUUUUUUUUUUUUUAAGGAAGAUAGAUGUUUUUGCCCCAAAUCACCUUCAUUUUAACUUUUAACCAGAUAGCACUCCCUUACGACCAGGGACCAGAGCAGCCAAGUUUUCUCAUGAGGAUGACCAGGGACUGGAGCAGCCAGCCUUCAAGGUUCCAUCCAGUUUAAAGAACUAAUUCUAGACCAUGUAUAAGACCUUUUCUGGCCCCCAAACAAGGACCGGCCAGGUUACCAAGGGUCCCCUGGCUUCUGAGCUCUGCAGAGAUAGGGCCACUUUUGGCCAGGUGGGCACAUGCACUGCCGUCCUGAUCCCUGGCAGGAUGAUGCAGUGGAGAGAAGAGGCACCCCAGCAAGCCCCAUGUUCAAAGGCAGGUUCGGUCUUCUAUCACUGGGUCAAGAUUUCUAGGCCCUGCAGGAGGACUGCAGGACCUCUUGAGCCUCCAGCGCCACCGUGGCCGCCUCCUGUCACGUCCUGAGAGCUGAGCCAGUUACAGGGGUGCUGUGUCUUGAUGGCAGGGGCAGUCUCCAUCACCACCAACCGUGUCUGACAUUUUCUU